AGAAGCCUGGUGGAUGUUUGUUUGCAGUCUGAUGAUGGGACAUCAUGCUCUGCAUCUUCAAAGUUUGUCUCUUGAUUAUUAUUCAUACACAGUAAUGUGAAGUAUGCUUAUAUCUAGUAUAACUGGACCACCCUGGUGCUCUUCAUUUAUGGAGGCUGUUGAGUCUGAAUGUUGGAUGUUGUGUAUCUCGUGUUCUCUGGGCUUUGUUGUCCUCAGUCUUUUUGCAGGAUCAGAAAACAAAACCAGGAUGACCAUAAAUGUUUCUUCUCCAAUUGGAUGAUGAUAAGACUGUGACACGGGAUGCCACCUUUAGUCUUGUGAUGAAGCAAAGCUCAGGAAGAAGUGUGAUUAAAUGGUACCCACAUGUGUGCUGCUGAGAAGGAUGUACAGGGGCACCUGCAGCCAAAUCCAAGCCUCCUCAGCAACUUCAGGUCUGUCAGCGUGCUGACGUCACAGAAACAAGAAAAGCAGCUUCAGACUUCAGAGUGUUGUUUAUAGUUUUCUGUCAUCAUGAUCUCCCCUGAAGUUUAUCAAGCAAGCAGAGCGGCAGUUUGUGCUCACAGAUGGUGACGGUGUGGAGAGAUGGUGGUGUUUCCUCAGAAGAACUAGCAGAGUCACAAAGGGCACGAGUCCAUCUCACCACCUUGACUUGUUGAUCAGUGGAUACACUUGUCUCCCCUUUAAAGGAGAUACUC
Oreochromis aureus is the source of this 695-nucleotide long non-coding RNA. RefSeq lists it as uncharacterized. The transcript has 3 exons. The record is from RefSeq and is a predicted model, not a curated record. NCBI's taxonomy places the organism in Eukaryota, Metazoa, Chordata, Actinopteri, Cichliformes, Cichlidae.